UAGGGUGAGAAGCUGACGGACAAUGGAGCAAACCUCUAGUGUGGCAGAGCUGGCCAAAAACAUUGAGGAUUUAGAAACGGAUGCCUCCAGGGUGGCAGAUCAUCAGGAGUAUGCCGAAGCCCUGUCAAUGUCCGGCCGUGCUAGGCCUAACGGUCGAUGGAGUCGAAAGUCCUGCUGCACUCGUCAAGUUCUAAGUGCAGGCGCCAUUUUCAUCGCCCUGCUACUUGUCAUCGGCGCCAUUUACAUGCACUUAAGACAGAAGACCCAUCUGGGCCGACUGCACAUCAAUCCGGAGAGGGUGGAUGCCUUGGAGGAGGACUUCCCCGUGGUCACCGCUGCCGGAGUGGCUGCCCAGACGAUAACAACAUUCCAGCCAGAUACUCUGGAGCUAAGCGGCAAAUGCCUGGCCUGUAUUGCCGCCACUGCCACGGAUAAUACUUCGGCAACGUGCAGGAACCGAGGUCGGAGUGAAGAGCCGUGCGGCAUUUAUCGCAUCUCCCACAUCUACUGGCAGGACACACAGGGGGUAUACCAGCCGGACAACUCACUUGCGCAGGGUAAUGUAUACACUAAAGGAAAUACCCUAAACAUUUUUCUUACAAAAGAUUAUUAAUUAUUACUUUCUUGUCUAAGUAAUUCGCAUUUCAUUAUUUAUUAAAGCUAGCAAUAGAAAGCCUUGAAAGCUAUUACCAAAUAUUUGCAAAAACAGGAAUAGACAAGGCCAUUAGCAAAACUUUAGCAACGAUAAUUGAAUUAUUGACAAUUUGGAGACAAAAUAACAAAAAGCUGUUUAUUUAGUUUACCCAGAACAUUGUUUAAUCUAAUUGAAAGCAUACAUCAGAGUUUAAAAUGUGAUUUCCUAUUUCAGCUUAAAUAUCUUUAAGCUUUUUAUAGUGUAAACUAACUUUAAACAGCUUGGCGGAGCUACCACACUAAAUACUAAAUAAAAGAUAUUCAAGUAAAUAUGUAAAGGUUUUUCAAAAAUAAAGAAACGGGCACUUUUUACGCAAAUAACGGGAAAGAAAGGACGCGAAAAAUCGACGUGCUUUCUCAAAGAGAAAUAAAUUUACAUAAGUGCCAAUCUAGUUUUUGAUGUUCUUCAUUUAAGGAUUUCACUUUUUCCCAAUUACGAACGGUGCGUAGUGGAUG
Molecule: RNA transcript, 1149 nt
Organism: Drosophila eugracilis
Lineage: Eukaryota; Metazoa; Arthropoda; Insecta; Diptera; Drosophilidae
Exons: 3
Source: RefSeq, a predicted model, not a curated record